CAGCGGCGGACGGGUGAGUAAUGCUUAGGAAUCUGCCUAUUAGUGGGGGACAACAUCUCGAAAGGGAUGCUAAUACCGCAUACGUCCUACGGGAGAAAGCAGGGGAUCACUUGUGACCUUGCGCUAAUAGAUGAGCCUAAGUCGGAUUAGCUAGUUGGUGGGGUAAAGGCCUACCAAGGCGACGAUCUGUAGCGGGUCUGAGAGGAUGAUCCGCCACACUGGGACUGAGACACGGCCCAGACUCCUACGGGAGGCAGCAGUGGGGAAUAUUGGACAAUGGGGGGAACCCUGAUCCAGCCAUGCCGCGUGUGUGAAGAAGGCCUUAUGGUUGUAAAGCACUUUAAGCGAGGAGGAGGCUCUUUUGGUUAAUACCCAAGAUGAGUGGACGUUACUCGCAGAAUAAGCACCGGCUAACUCUGUGCCAGCAGCCGCGGUAAUACAGAGGGUGCAAGCGUUAAUCGGAUUUACUGGGCGUAAAGCGCGCGUAGGCGGCCAAUUAAGUCAAAUGUGAAAUCCCCGAGCUUAACUUGGGAAUUGCAUUCGAUACUGGUUGGCUAGAGUGUGGGAGAGGAUGGUAGAAUUCCAGGUGUAGCGGUGAAAUGCGUAGAGAUCUGGAGGAAUACCGAUGGCGAAGGCAGCCAUCUGGCCUAACACUGACGCUGAGGUGCGAAAGCAUGGGGAGCAAACAGGAUUAGAUACCCUGGUAGUCCAUGCCGUAAACGAUGUCUACUAGCCGUUGGGGCCUUUGAGGCUUUAGUGGCGCAGCUAACGCGAUAAGUAGACCGCCUGGGGAGUACGGUCGCAAGACUAAAACUCAAAUGAAUUGACGGGGGCCCGCACAAGCGGUGGAGCAUGUGGUUUAAUUCGAUGCAACGCGAAGAACCUUACCUGGCCUUGACAUAGUAGAAACUUUCCAGAGAUGGAUUGGUGCCUUCGGGAAUCUACAUACAGGUGCUGCAUGGCUGUCGUCAGCUCGUGUCGUGAGAUGUUGGGUUAAGUCCCGCAACGAGCGCAACCCUUUUCCUUACUUGCCAGCAUUUCGGAUGGGAACUUUAAGGAUACUGCCAGUGACAAACUGGAGGAAGGCGGGGACGACGUCAAGUCAUCAUGGCCCUUACGGCCAGGGCUACACACGUGCUACAAUGGUCGGUACAAAGGGUUGCUACCUAGCGAUAGGAUGCUAAUCUCAAAAAGCCGAUCGUAGUCCGGAUUGGAGUCUGCAACUCGACUCCAUGAAGUC
RNAcentral lists this ribosomal RNA (1240 nucleotides) under Acinetobacter sp. Its description in RNAcentral is "bacterial SSU rRNA". It matches the Rfam family "Bacterial small subunit ribosomal RNA", at positions 93 to 1327 of the family's 1533-position model. Lineage: Bacteria; Pseudomonadati; Pseudomonadota; Gammaproteobacteria; Moraxellales; Moraxellaceae. The record is from RNAcentral.